RNAcentral lists this ribosomal RNA (503 nucleotides) under uncultured bacterium. Its description in RNAcentral is "bacterial SSU rRNA". It matches the Rfam family "Bacterial small subunit ribosomal RNA", at positions 30 to 526 of the family's 1533-position model. The record is from RNAcentral.
AUUGAACGCUGGCGGCAGGCCUAACACAUGCAAGUCGAGCGGAUGAAGGGAGCUUGCUUCCUGAUUCAGCGGCGGACGGGUGAGUAAUGCCUAGGAAUCUGCCUGAUAGUGGGGGACAACGUUUCGAAAGGAACGCUAAUACCGCAUACGUCCUACGGGAGAAAGCAGGGGACCUUCGGGCCUUGCGCUAUCAGAUGAGCCUAGGUCGGAUUAGCUAGUAGGUGAGGUAAUGGCUCACCUAGGCGACGAUCCGUAACUGGUCUGAGAGGAUGAUCAGUCACACUGGAACUGAGACACGGUCCAGACUCCUACGGGAGGCAGCAGUGGGGAAUAUUGGACAAUGGGCGAAAGCCUGAUCCAGCCAUGCCGCGUGUGUGAAGAAGGUCUUAGGAUUGUAAAGCACUUUAAGUCAGGAGGAAGGGGUGUGUGUUAAUAGCACAUACUUUUGACGUUACUGACAGAAUAAGCACCGGCUAACUUCGUGCCAGCCGCCGCCGUAACAC